Long non-coding RNA from Cervus elaphus (red deer), 561 nucleotides. RefSeq lists it as uncharacterized. The transcript has 3 exons. The record is from RefSeq and is a predicted model, not a curated record. NCBI's taxonomy places the organism in Eukaryota, Metazoa, Chordata, Mammalia, Artiodactyla, Cervidae.
ACCUUUGUGGCAGAAUCAGAUUCUUCCAGCCCCUGAGGUUCUGGCGAAGAUAUUUGGACGGGGAGAAGCUGCCCAGGACUGCACUCUCAGCCUUAAUCUUGGAUUGGCAGAGCCUGGGAAAGCAUGUGGCCAGGAACUUGAGGACUUGAAGAAUGUGUGUGACCCAGACACUGCCUGGAGCAUCGUCCCCUGGCAGAUUCAGCCCUCUAGGUGAAAAUGCAGGAGACGUUGCUGACAAAAGGUGGCCAGUUCGGCAGCAAGGCAGCACACACGUCUGUGGACUGCUCCUGAGCAAGAUGGGGUAUUUGGGAGAGAGGGGUGCAAUCCAGCCAGCAUUUCCAGGAGAUGUUGGAACAAGCCGCUGACGGACUGCUUUCCCACAUGGAAUGCUGGCCUGGGGAACGAUGCCGUGGCGCUUUCUGGCCGCCUGCUACCCUCGGCUACAAUGGGCCUCCUACACUCUCUUACUUGCGCAUCAAGCCUCUGGCUGCUUGCUGCCAAGUAUUAAGUGCUUGUUCCACAAACCUGGUGUAGAUUAUCACUUUGCCGUAUAGAUGUAUC